Non-coding RNA from Triticum aestivum (bread wheat), 115 nucleotides. Lineage: Eukaryota; Viridiplantae; Streptophyta; Magnoliopsida; Poales; Poaceae. The record is from Rfam.
CAAGUACUCCCUCCGUCCGGAAUUACUUGUCAUCAAAAUAGAUGUGUCUAGAACUAAAGUACAUCUAGAUAGAUCCAUUUCAAUGACAAGUAUUUUCGGACAGAGGGAGUACAAG